AAAUUGAAGAGUUUGAUCAUGGCUCAGAUUGAACGCUGGCGGCAGGCCUAACACAUGCAAGUCGAACGGUAACAGGAAGAAGCUUGCUUCUUUGCUGACGAGUGGCGGACGGGUGAGUAAUGUCUGGGAAACUGCCUGAUGGAGGGGGAUAACUACUGGAAACGGUAGCUAAUACCGCAUAACGUCGCAAGACCAAAGAGGGGGACCUUCGGGCCUCUUGCCAUCGGAUGUGCCCAGAUGGGAUUAGCUAGUAGGUGGGGUAACGGCUCACCUAGGCGACGAUCCCUAGCUGGUCUGAGAGGAUGACCAGCCACACUGGAACUGAGACACGGUCCAGACUCCUACGGGAGGCAGCAGUGGGGAAUAUUGCACAAUGGGCGCAAGCCUGAUGCAGCCAUGCCGCGUGUAUGAAGAAGGCCUUCGGGUUGUAAAGUACUUUCAGCGGGGAGGAAGGGAGUAAAGUUAAUACCUUUGCUCAUUGACGUUACCCGCAGAAGAAGCACCGGCUAACUCCGUGCCAGCAGCCGCGGUAAUACGGAGGGUGCAAGCGUUAAUCGGAAUUACUGGGCGUAAAGCGCACGCAGGCGGUUUGUUAAGUCAGAUGUGAAAUCCCCGGGCUCAACCUCGGGAACUGCAUCUGAUACUGGCAAGCUUGAGUCUCGUAGAGGGGGGUAGAAUUCCGGUGUAGCGGUGAAAUGCGUAGAGAUCUGGAGGAAUACCGGUGGCGAAGGCGGCCCCUGGACGAAGACUGACGCUCAGGUGCGAAAGCGUGGGGAGCAAACAGGAUUAGAUACCCUGGUAGUCCACGCCGUAAACGAUGUCGACUUGGAGGUUGUGCCCUUGAGGCGUGGCUUCCGGAGCUAACGCGUUAAGUCGACCGCCUGGGGAGUACGGCCGCAAGGUUAAAACUCAAAUGAAUUGACGGGGGCCCGCACAAGCGGUGGAGCAUGUGGUUUAAUUCGAUGCAACGCGAAGAACCUUACCUGGUCUUGACAUCCACGGAAGUUUUCAGAGAUGAGAAUGUGCCUUCGGGAACCGUGAGACAGGUGCUGCAUGGCUGUCGUCAGCUCGUGUUGUGAAAUGUUGGGUUAAGUCCCGCAACGAGCGCAACCCUUAUCCUUUGUUGCCAGCGGUCCGGCCGGGAACUCAAAGGAGACUGCCAGUGAUAAACUGGAGGAAGGUGGGGAUGACGUCAAGUCAUCAUGGCCCUUACGACCAGGGGCUACACACGUGCUACAAUGGCGCAUACAAAGAGAAGCGACCUCGCGAGAGCAAGCGGACCUCAUAAAGUGCGUCGUAGUCCGGAUUGGAGUCUGCAACUCGACUCCAUGAAGUCGGAAUCGCUAGUAAUCGUGGAUCAGAAUGCCACGGUGAAUACGUUCCCGGGCCUUGUACACACCGCCCGUCACACCAUGGGAGUGGGUUGCAAAAGAAGUAGGUAGCUUAACCUUCGGGAGGGCGCUUACCACUUUGUGAUUCAUGACUGGGGUGAAGUCGUAACAAGGUAACCGUAGGGGAACCUGCGGUUGGAUCACCUCCUUACCUUAAAGAAGC
RNAcentral lists this ribosomal RNA (1554 nucleotides) under Escherichia coli. Its description in RNAcentral is "bacterial SSU rRNA". It matches the Rfam family "Bacterial small subunit ribosomal RNA". Lineage: Bacteria; Pseudomonadati; Pseudomonadota; Gammaproteobacteria; Enterobacterales; Enterobacteriaceae. The record is from RNAcentral.